UGAUUCAAAGCCAUGCCAGUAUUGGCCCCUUUCCCUCCUCACUCCCCACGACCUAUCCUGAUCUUUACAAUUCCUGCUGUGUGCUUUGCCUUCUUCCUGCGACUUCUAACCUUCAGGUUGGUGCCAAUGUGGGUCUCAGGGAUCAAAGUCAGGUCACUGGACUUGGCUGAAGUGUAUGUGCUGACUUACUACAGAGCUACUACUAUUUCACUGACCCCAUGUGGUCCUUCUUAUGAGAGAGGAACCAGUCAUGAAUUAGCAUGAUGGAAUCCAAGGAAGAAUACAGCUACAUUUUCAAUUAACCAAAGAACUGAGGAGGCUGGAGAGAUGGUUCAGUAACUAAGAGAACUGGGCUGUCCCUUCAGAGGACUGAAUUUCAAUUUCCACAGGGAGACUUUCGACCAUCUCUAACUCCAGUUCCAGGGGAUCUGAGGACACCCAUAUGCAUAAACAAAAGUAAUAUUCUCUCAAAGUUAGUGAACUGAUUCACGAUGGUGAUGUAUGAGGAAUGUGACACAUGGUACAUGUCUGCCCUUGACAUGAUCUACCUGUGAUCUGUGGUCAAACAAGCUUGGUGUAUAGGACUUUAGAUUCCUCAAAACAAAGAAAAAUCAUGAAUUUCUAUUCUGUUCCCCAUGAAGCACGGGCUUGGUACAGACAGCAAGCAAGUCCUGUGAAAUAAAGAAGAAUCCUGACCACUGAGACACUGUCUCUGUUCCCCAUCGAGGUCUCAUUUCAGGUAUUUCUUUAUAAGGAAGCAUUACUGAUCCUAAACUGCCAUGCUUUCCUUCCAUAUUCUUUGUCUUCCUUGAGGCUGUGUGAAAACUAAAUCAUUUUUGCUAUGAGGAAAUCAUCUGGGCCUCAAGACCCAGAUGAGUGAAUAAGAAGACAGUGAAUUCUUGGUCAAAAGCUCCAGCAUGAAAUGCUAGCAAAAAACUUUUGGUUAAAACUGAAAUUCUAAUUCAACAUGAAUUGUAAUUAGCCUAUCAGAAAUUGUGUAAAAAUCAUUAUUUGAAUCCUCACUAUUUGAACUUAAUAAAAGUCAUAUUUAUGUUCCCAGGCAAA
Molecule: long non-coding RNA, 1065 nt
Organism: Myodes glareolus (Bank vole)
Lineage: Eukaryota; Metazoa; Chordata; Mammalia; Rodentia; Cricetidae
Source: RefSeq, a predicted model, not a curated record